UACGGAGGGGGCGAGCGUUGUUCGGAAUCAUUGGGCGUAAAGGGCGCGUAGGCGGUCGGGUAAGUCGGUUGUGAAAUCCCCUGGCUUAACCAGGGAAGUGCGUCCGAAACUACCUGACUAGAGGCCGGGAGAGGAGAGUGGAAUUCCCAGUGUAGCGGUGAAAUGCGUAGAUAUUGGGAGGAACACCGGUGGCGAAGGCGGCUCUCUGGACCGGUUCUGACGCUGAGGCGCGAAAGCUAGGGGAGCAAACAGG
This 253-nucleotide ribosomal RNA is filed under the name uncultured bacterium. RNAcentral describes it as "partial 16S ribosomal RNA". It matches the Rfam family "Bacterial small subunit ribosomal RNA", at positions 524 to 776 of the family's 1533-position model. The record is from RNAcentral.